GGUUGAAGGCAUAUGAAUAUUCAGUGCGGCGGCUAUACAUGCAAGUCGAGCGGACAGAAGGGAGCUUGCUCCCGGAUGUUAGCGGCGGACGGGUGAGUAACACGUGGGUAACCUGCCUGUAAGACUGGGAUAACUCCGGGAAACCGGAGCUAAUACCGGAUAGUUCCUUGAACCGCAUGGUUCAAGGAUGAAAGACGGUUUCGGCUGUCACUUGCAGAUGGACCCGCGGCGCAUUAGCUAGUUGGUGAGGUAACGGCUCACCAAGGCGACGAUGCGUAGCCGACCUGAGAGGGUGAUCGGCCACACUGGGACUGAGACACGGCCCAGACUCCUACGGGAGGCAGCAGUAGGGAAUCUUCCGCAAUGGACGAAAGUCUGACGGAGCAACGCCGCGUGAGUGAUGAAGGUUUUCGGAUCGUAAAGCUCUGUUGUUAGGGAAGAACAAGUGCAAGAGUAACUGCUUGCACCUUGACGGUACCUAACCAGAAAGCCACGGCUAACUACGUGCCAGCAGCCGCGGUAAUACGUAGGUGGCAAGCGUUGUCCGGAAUUAUUGGGCGUAAAGGGCUCGCAGGCGGUUUCUUAAGUCUGAUGUGAAAGCCCCCGGCUCAACCGGGGAGGGUCAUUGGAAACUGGGAAACUUGAGUGCAGAAGAGGAGAGUGGAAUUCCACGUGUAGCGGUGAAAUGCGUAGAGAUGUGGAGGAACACCAGUGGCGAAAGCGACUCUCUGGUCUGUAACUGACGCUGAGGAGCGAAAGCGUGGGGAGCGAACAGGAUUAGAUACCCUGGUAGUCCACGCCGUAACGAUGAGUGCUAAGUGUUAGGGGGUUUCCGCCCCCUUAGUGCUGCAGCUAACGCAUUAAGCACCUCCGCCUGGGGGAGUACGGUCGCAAGGACUGAAACUCAAAGGAAUUGACGGGGCCCGCACAAGCGGUGGGAGCAUGGUGGGUUAAUCGAAGCACGCGAGAAUCUAACAGUCUUGACAUCUCUGACAACCUAGAGAUAGGCUUUCCAUCGGGACGAUUGACGUGAUGCAUGCUUGUCGUCAGCUCGUUCCUUGCAAUGUUCAUUAAGUCAGCAACUGAGCACUUGACUUAGUUGCCAGCAUUAAGUUGGGC
Molecule: ribosomal RNA, 1119 nt
Filed under: Bacillus sp. (in: firmicutes)
Lineage: Bacteria; Bacillati; Bacillota; Bacilli; Caryophanales; Bacillaceae
Description: bacterial SSU rRNA
Rfam family: Bacterial small subunit ribosomal RNA
Source: RNAcentral